Molecule: long non-coding RNA, 2917 nt
Organism: Globicephala melas (long-finned pilot whale)
Lineage: Eukaryota; Metazoa; Chordata; Mammalia; Artiodactyla; Delphinidae
Source: RefSeq, a predicted model, not a curated record
AUUUCUACUUUGCGGAGUUCUGCCAGGGCCAAGGAGAGUCCUCAGACCUGCAGAGACGCGCAGCAACCUCAGGGAGCCUGUACACAGGGGAGAGGUCCAGCUUCCGCAGUUACCAGGGAGACGCGGAUCUCAGACGCAGCGUUGUAGCCCUCACAUUAGCAGACGUUCAGUCCCUGAGGAAGCCCACGUGCACCGCCCAGCCUCUUGCUCCUCGAAGGUUGGAAACUCUCUAGAACAGCUGCCAGGAAAAACAGCCUGUCGUAUUCUUGGAGUUGAAUAUUCUGCUUCCCAUAACCAAGCCAUCUCCUCCUGGCACGUCACCCAGCGAAGCAUCUCGAUCGUGUGCACCAGGAGAAUGUGUAUGGUCGCACUGCUCACAGGAGCAGGAAUCCUGAAGCACCCCAAAUGCCCACCAACAGGAGAGUGGGUUGAUGAGGUGUGAUGGGGUAUUACACAGCGGCUGCUACAAAUGAGCGAGUGUCACAAAACGACAUGGGCCCCCGUUAGCAACGUGAGCUUGAGUAGCUGAAACGACCUUCAUGUACGUUCCCCACGAUCCCAGUAGCUUGGUGCUGACGGGAGGCUGCAGUUCACCUCAUUCCACUCUCCUUCUGGCCUGUGGACAUGACCGUGUCCCAGGUGGCAGCACAGGUCGUCGGGAAGUAAGCAGAUGGCAAAUGCAGCCGCGGAUGGUGCACUGACCAGCUCCAGCCGGUGCCAGUUACCAGAGGACCGAGGGAUGCUGUUUCACUUACGCGUUCAGACUGUCCAGGUGACGCUGUGAGGCAAGCGCAUGAGUCAGCAGGAAUCCCGGUCGGAUUCCUGCCCUGGUGACCCGAGCAAGCGCGCAGCUUGGUGCCGCGAAGGGUUUUGCAGACAUGGCGCUCACCCCAAGAUGCACAGGUGUAGGUGAGCCCGCUGAGCUUCACGCGCCCUGCAGAAGGGGACGUCAGGGAGACAGACACACAAGCACCACUCGGGAGAAGGAAUGGGUCUCAAGGGACAGAGCAGGUCUGCUGACCCCCAACAAGGGAAAGGGGCCCUCAGCCCCACAAGGAAAAGAGUUCUGCCACCAAUCUGAUGAGGAAGAAGAGCCCAGCUCGGCUGAUACCUUGAUUUCAGUCUGUGAGCACUGGGCAGAGAUCCCAGCCAAAUCCACCCAAUCUCUGAUGCAGGAGACCCCUGGGGCACAGGACCUCUGGGCCAAGGACUGUGAGGUGACCAAGCGGCUGAGCUGUGGCUGUUGGCAAUGCGGUGAUGGAAGCCGUUCUGAAGUCCCCAGGGUCCAGCUCCAGGGCUCUCCCAGGUGGGCUCCGGAGGAGCGUAUCAGGCAACCUUCGAGUCCCAGUCCUAGUUUUGAUUUCGGCAAAGGCCCCCGCCUCUCCGGUCCCCGACGCAGACCCUCUAAUGCUGCCUGAGCGCUGUGUGGUCUGGUUGAGAGAGCUGCCCGCCAUGUCCCCUGAGAGUCCUGACGUCUGAUUCUGCUUAGGGCCCUUUUCACAUUCAGAUUGUUUUCCCUGGUGACUUUGUGAUCAGACGUCACAGGAUUCCUGGAUGAGGAAGGUGAUUUUUCCCAAAACUCAAGCCACCCUACAAGCCUCGUGUUUAGUAGCUGCGUUGGUGGCAGUGGGUCGCCUGUCUUGGUUAGCGUGCAUCUUGUCCCCACCACGUCUUGUGGCCCCCCAGGAGUCAGCUUGCAUAAGUUCCUGAGAUGAGGAAACCGCCUUUAUCACAGCAUCCCUCAUGUCCCAUCAAUGGCAUUAAGCAGGUGUGUCUCCCUGUUCAUCGUGAAGCCCGUCAUGUGUGGUUGUGAGCGGGUGGGGCAGCAGGCAGGGUAACCCCCACCCCCAUCCCCUGCCCAUCACCCACUGCAGCACCUUAGUAGUUAAACCACCUGGAAGUGUUGCUCACAAAAGUUUGUAGCCCUGUGGAGAUAGGCUGUCAACCCAAAUAAUCACGUCUGUUCACCGGCGUCUAGAAUUAGUGAUGUACUCACCCCUCCCACUGUUAAAGCGCCAAUGAAGAGUCAUCAGACUUCUGCUGUUACUUCUCCCCAAAGCAUCCUCCUCUUCCGUGGAACACCUGUGGGAUUCCAUGGUUACCUGGCACGGUCGUCGACCACAGCAUGGGUUUCUGAGUAAUCAGUGUUCUUAAUUGAAUUACUCUUCACCGGAGUGUGGCAUCUGUUUAACUGGUCACAAGAGAAAAGACUUUCUGUUGACUAGAAAACUGGUCAGCUUCUUUCCGAUUCUCCCAGCUCCUCUACAGGUCUAGCUUUUACCUACUAACAGCAGCCAGAGAAUAGACUCUUCUUCCUAAUGUCCCUCUGUCUGUCCCCUGGGCAGCUCCAUGGGAUCCGGGUCUAUCUCCUCUGUUUGCCAUUGGCAGGACCUGUUCUCUGUAGCUGCCUCAAGACUUCCACUGUUCUGUAUCAAGGAUGGGUUUUCAGGAAUCCUGGCUCCCAGUGCCUUGGUUUUUCCACUCUUUUUUCUUGUCAUCAUAAAAAACCCAGUCCUACUCACAGCACCAGCCAGAGGUAGCACAGGAGUUGGAUUGUCCAGUUCACUGUGAGAUGCAGGGCAGCACGAGUACCUAGCCAUCCUCCCCGUGACGCCUCCCUCGCUGGGGUCCAGGUUGAGGAGUGCUUGGUGGUGUGUGAGGCCGACACCAACACUGGGUGUUUCCAUUGUGAAACAUUGCCCUUCAAACGCCAAUAACCUCAGGGGAGAAUCUGACACUUCCCAGGGCCGUGCCCCACAGAUCCAGAUGUGUUUAUCAUAAGCUGAGGAAGGCCAAGCUAAGGACACUCCUUUGUCUGCUAGUAAGAACACCAGGAGAUCUGAGCAGCAAGUCCACAAGGACAUUUGCCUGGUGGCUUCCUUUUCCUCUCUUAUAUUUUUCUCCUUCUCCAAGGCAU